CGUGGGUAACCUGCCCAUAAGAGGGGGAUAACAUUCGGAAACGGAUGCUAAUACCGCAUAUUUUUAAUCCUCUCCUGACGAAUGGAAGAAAGGUGGCUUCGGCUACCGCUUAUGGAUGGACCCGCGGCGUAUUAGCUAGUUGGUGAGGUAAUGGCUCACCAAGGCGAUGAUACGUAGCCGACCUGAGAGGGUGAUCGGCCACACUGGGACUGAGACACGGCCCAGACUCCUACGGGAGACAGCAGUAGGGAAUGUUCCGCAAUGGACUAAAGUCUGACGGAGCAAUGCCGCGUGAGUGAAGAAGGUUUUCGGAUCGUAAAACUCUGUUGUUAGAGAAGAACAAGGAUGAGAGUAACUGCUCAUCCCCUGACGGUAUCUAACCAGAAAGCCACGGCUAACUACGUGCCAGCAGCCGCGGUAAUACGUAGGUGGCAAGCGUUGUCCGGAUUUAUUGGGCGUAAAGCGAGCGCAGGCGGUU
RNAcentral lists this ribosomal RNA (478 nucleotides) under uncultured Carnobacterium sp. RNAcentral's name for it is "bacterial SSU rRNA". It matches the Rfam family "Bacterial small subunit ribosomal RNA", at positions 116 to 580 of the family's 1533-position model. The record is from RNAcentral. Lineage: Bacteria; Bacillati; Bacillota; Bacilli; Lactobacillales; Carnobacteriaceae.